This is a non-coding RNA of Populus trichocarpa (black cottonwood), 156 nucleotides long. The record is from Rfam. Lineage: Eukaryota; Viridiplantae; Streptophyta; Magnoliopsida; Malpighiales; Salicaceae.
UCUAGAACUCGAAAUAUGAGCUGAAGACUGAACAGUGUCUAGGCUGCAGGACAAAUUCUGAUUUAUCUUUUGCUGCUACAAUUUGAACUUGAAAACGGCCGUUUUGAAUCUUGGAUUCUUCAUGAAAGUUUUAGGCCUAUGUCUUAGCUUUUCAUC